CCUUAAUAUAUACAUUUAUAUAUAUAUAUAAUCUUCGAUUAUGUUAUAUAUCAUAAAUAAUAAUAAAUAAGGG
RNAcentral lists this transfer RNA (73 nucleotides) under Arctica islandica. RNAcentral describes it as "tRNA-Glu". The record is from RNAcentral. Lineage: Eukaryota; Metazoa; Mollusca; Bivalvia; Venerida; Arcticidae.